UUGCAGCCAAGCCGCUUGGUGAAGGUGAUGCAGCUUCUCAACCCACACCCAGGACUGAGCCUCAGAGAGGUGGUGAGGUUACAGGUGUGUCUGCAGGGAGCGCUUCCCCAGAUCUUGAGGUGGUUACUGCACCCAAGCCUGGCUCCCAUCGCAGGGGUCCUCCAAAAAGAAAGACCCAAGAUAAUGGAACCAAAAAGUCUCUAUCAUCAAAUGAU
Non-coding RNA from Cyanistes caeruleus (blue tit), 215 nucleotides. Lineage: Eukaryota; Metazoa; Chordata; Aves; Passeriformes; Paridae. The record is from RefSeq and is a predicted model, not a curated record.